This 439-nucleotide long non-coding RNA is filed under the name Chloebia gouldiae (Gouldian finch). Its description in RNAcentral is "Erythrura gouldiae (Gouldian finch) lncRNA (ENSEGOG00005001338.1)". The record is from RNAcentral. Lineage: Eukaryota; Metazoa; Chordata; Aves; Passeriformes; Passeridae.
GGGCGCGCACGGCAGUGGGAGCCCAGCGCUGCCGGGAGCCGCCGCCGCUCGGUCCGCCCGGGCACGGACCGCCGCGGGAGCCGCCAGACAGGCUGAUCAGCCUCGAUCGCAGUGUUAAGAGACCUGAAGCAAGGAUCCUGACAGAUGCAUAUUCAGUACAGCCUGACUUCGUGAGGAGAACAAGUAUUUCCCUGAAAGUCUGGCCCCUCAAAGCAGCACACAGGAGAAAAGUGCAACCCAGCUGCUCGGUGCAGAGAUCUGAGGGCUCCUGCAGGGUGAAGCGCUUGGUGCCACUUAACAAACCAGCCAAUGUGCAGUCUCUGGCGUGUGCACUUUAUUCCACAUGCUUGUUCUGAGCCUCCUGCUGUUGCUCACGCUACAACUGCUGACAAGUACCUUCCUGGCAACAUGGAAUCACAGCCUGUGACUUGAGACCCUG